GACGAACGCUGGCGGCGUGCUUAACACAUGCAAGUCGAACGAAAAGCGAUGGAAGCUUGCUUCUAUCAAUCUUAGUGGCGAACGGGUGAGUAACGCGUAAUCAACCUGCCCUUCAGAGGGGGACAACAGUUGGAAACGACUGCUAAUACCGCAUACGAUCUAAUCUCGGCAUCGAGGAUAGAUGAAAGGUGGCCUCUACAUGUAAGCUAUCACUGAAGGAGGGGAUUGCGUCUGAUUAGCUAGUUGGAGGGGUAACGGCCCACCAAGGCGAUGAUCAGUAGCCGGUCUGAGAGGAUGAACGGCCACAUUGGGACUGAGACACGGCCCAGACUCCUACGGGAGGCAGCAGUGGGGAAUCUUCCGCAAUGGACGAAAGUCUGACAGAGCAACGCCGCGUGAGUGAUGACGGCCUUCGGGUUGUAAAGCUCUGUUAAUCGGGACGAAAGGCCUUCUUGCGAAUAGUGAGAAGGAUUGACGGUACCGGAAUAGAAAGCCACGGCUAACUACGUG
RNAcentral lists this ribosomal RNA (510 nucleotides) under uncultured bacterium. Its description in RNAcentral is "partial 16S ribosomal RNA". It matches the Rfam family "Bacterial small subunit ribosomal RNA", at positions 28 to 507 of the family's 1533-position model. The record is from RNAcentral.